AUUGAACGCUGGCGGCAGGCCUAACACAUGCAAGUCGAGCGGAAGAAGGGAGCUUGCUCCUGGAUUCAGCGGCGGACGGGUGAGUAAUGCCUAGGAAUCUGCCUGGUAGUGGGGGAUAACGUCCGGAAACGGGCGCUAAUACCGCAUACGUCGUGAGGGAGAAAGUGGGGGAUCUUCGGACCUCACGCUAUCAGAUGAGCCUAGGUCGGAUUAGCUAGUUGGUGGGGUAAAGGCCUACCAAGGCGACGAUCCGUAACUGGUCUGCGAGGAUGAUCAGUCACACUGGAACUGAGACACGGUCCAGACUCCUACGGGAGGCAGCAGUGGGGAAUAUUGGACAAUGGGCGAAAGCCUGAUCCAGCCAUGCCGCGUGUGUGAAGAAGGUCUUCGGAUUGUAAAGCACUUUUAGUUGGGAGGAAGGGCAGUAAGUUAAUACCUUGCUGUUUUGACGUUACCAACAGAAUAAGCACCGGCUAACUUCGUG
RNAcentral lists this ribosomal RNA (484 nucleotides) under uncultured bacterium. RNAcentral's name for it is "partial 16S ribosomal RNA". It matches the Rfam family "Bacterial small subunit ribosomal RNA", at positions 30 to 507 of the family's 1533-position model. The record is from RNAcentral.